RNAcentral lists this unclassified non-coding RNA (228 nucleotides) under air metagenome. RNAcentral describes it as "partial contains small subunit ribosomal RNA, internal transcribed spacer 1, and 5.8S ribosomal RNA". The stretch from base 1 to 46 matches the Rfam family "Eukaryotic small subunit ribosomal RNA", at positions 1786 to 1831 of the family's 1831-position model. The record is from RNAcentral.
AAGUCGUAACAAGGUCUCCGUUGGUGAACCAGCGGAGGGAUCAUUACAGAGUUAUCCAACUCCCAAACCCAUGUGAACUUAUCUCUUUGUUGCCUCGGCGCAAGCUACCCGGGACCCAGUGCCCCGGGCGGCCCGCCGGCGGACAAACCAAACUCUGUUAUCUUAGUUGAUUAUCUGAGUGUCUUAUUUAAUAAGUCAAAACUUUCAACAACGGAUCUCUUGGUUCUG